This 495-nucleotide ribosomal RNA is filed under the name uncultured bacterium. RNAcentral's name for it is "partial 16S ribosomal RNA". It matches the Rfam family "Bacterial small subunit ribosomal RNA", at positions 28 to 507 of the family's 1533-position model. The record is from RNAcentral.
GAUGAACGCUGGCGGCGUGCCUAAUACAUGCAAGUAGAACGCUGAAGGAGGAGCUUGCUCUUCUGGAUGAGUUGCGAACGGGUGAGUAACGCGUAGGUAACCUGCCUGGUAGCGGGGGAUAACUAUUGGAAACGAUAGCUAAUACCGCAUGACAACAGUUAUUGCAUGAUAACUGUUUAAAAGGGGCAACUGCUCCACUACCAGAUGGACCUGCGUUGUAUUAGCUAGUUGGUGAGGUAACGGCUCACCAAGGCGACGAUACAUAGCCGACCUGAGAGGGUGAUCGGCUACACUGGGACUGAGACACGGCCCAGACUCCUACGGGAGGCAGCAGUAGGGAAUCUUCGGCAAUAGACGGAAGUCUGACCGAGCAACGCCGCGUGAGUGAAGAAGGUUUUCGGAUCGUAAAGCUCUGUUGUAAGAGAAGAACGAGUGUGAGAGUGGAAAGUUCACACUGUGACGGUAUCUUACCAGAAAGGGACGGCUAACUACGUG